AGUCGAGAAUCUUCGGCAAUGGGCGAAAGCCUGACCGAGCAAUGCCGCGUGCGGGAUGAAGGCCUUCGGGUUGUAAACCGCUGUCAGUUGGGAGGAAGGGUCCGUGAAGAGCGGAUCUUGACCUAUCUUCAGAGGAAGUCCGGGCUAAGUUCGUGCCAGCAGCCGCGGUAAUACGAACCGGACAAACGUUAUUCGGAAUUAUUGGGCUUAAAGGGUGCGUAGGCGGCGAUGUAGGUGGGGUGUGAAAUCCCUCGGCUCAACCGAGGAACUGCGCCCCAAACCACAUGGCUAGAGGGAGACAGAGGUAAGCGGAACUGAUGGUGGAGCGGUGAAAUGCGUUGAUAUCAUCAGGAACACCAGUGGCGAAAGCGGCUUACUGGGUCUCUUCUGACGCUGAGGCACGAAAGCUAGGGUAGCGAA
RNAcentral lists this ribosomal RNA (420 nucleotides) under uncultured Bythopirellula sp. RNAcentral describes it as "bacterial SSU rRNA". It matches the Rfam family "Bacterial small subunit ribosomal RNA", at positions 353 to 772 of the family's 1533-position model. The record is from RNAcentral. Lineage: Bacteria; Pseudomonadati; Planctomycetota; Planctomycetia; Pirellulales; Lacipirellulaceae.